AACGUAGGAGACGAGCGUUAUCCGGAUUUACUGGGCGUAGAGCGUGUGCAGGCGGUUCGGCAAGUUGGAUGUGAAAUCUCCCGGCUCAACUGGGAGGGGUCGUUCAAUACUACCGAACUUGAGGUCAUCAGAGGAAGGUGGAAUUCCGGGUGUAGUGGUGAAAUGCGUAGAUAUCGGGAGGAACACCAGUGGCGAAGGCGACUACCUGGCCUGUUUCUUGACGCUGAGGCGCGAAAGCUAGGGGAGCAAACGGG
Molecule: ribosomal RNA, 254 nt
Filed under: uncultured bacterium
Lineage: Bacteria
Description: partial 16S ribosomal RNA
Rfam family: Bacterial small subunit ribosomal RNA
Source: RNAcentral